RNAcentral lists this ribosomal RNA (497 nucleotides) under uncultured bacterium. Its description in RNAcentral is "partial 16S ribosomal RNA". It matches the Rfam family "Bacterial small subunit ribosomal RNA", at positions 28 to 507 of the family's 1533-position model. The record is from RNAcentral.
GAUGAACGCUGGCGGCGUGCCUAAUACAUGCAAGUCGAGCGAACAGACGAGGAGCUUGCUCCUCUGACGUUAGCGGCGGACGGGUGAGUAACACGUGGAUAACCUACCUAUAAGACUGGGAUAACUUCGGGAAACCGGAGCUAAUACCGGAUAACAUGUUGAACCGCAUGGUUCAACAGUGAAAGACGGUCUUGCUGUCACUUAUAGAUGGAUCCGCGCCGCAUUAGCUAGUUGGUAAGGUAACGGCUUACCAAGGCAACGAUGCGUAGCCGACCUGAGAGGGUGAUCGGCCACACUGGAACUGAGACACGGUCCAGACUCCUACGGGAGGCAGCAGUAGGGAAUCUUCCGCAAUGGGCGAAAGCCUGACGGAGCAACGCCGCGUGAGUGAAGAAGGUCUUCGGAUCGUAAAACUCUGUUAUUAGGGAAGAACAAAUGUGUAAGUAACUAUGCACGUCUUGACGGUACCUAAUCAGAAAGCCACGGGUAACUACGUG